CAGUAGCCGCGGUAAUACAGAGGGUGCAAGCGUUAAUCGGAGUUACUGGGCGUAAAGGGCGCGUAGGCGGUUAUAUAAGUGAGAUGUGAAAUCCCUGGGCUUAACCUAGGAACUGCAUCUUAUACUGCGUAGCUGGAGUGCAGUAGAGGGUAGUGGAAUUUCCGGUGUAGCGGUGAAAUGCGUAGAUAUCGGAAGGAACACCAGUGGCGAAGGCGGCUACCUGGACUGACACUGACACUGAGGCGCGAAAGCGUGGGGAGCAAACAGGAUUAGAUACCCCCGUAGUCCCUGUCUCUUAUAC
RNAcentral lists this ribosomal RNA (301 nucleotides) under uncultured bacterium. RNAcentral's name for it is "partial 16S ribosomal RNA". It matches the Rfam family "Bacterial small subunit ribosomal RNA", at positions 509 to 807 of the family's 1533-position model. The record is from RNAcentral.